Oryctolagus cuniculus (rabbit) is the source of this 274-nucleotide non-coding RNA. NCBI's taxonomy places the organism in Eukaryota, Metazoa, Chordata, Mammalia, Lagomorpha, Leporidae. The record is from RefSeq and is a predicted model, not a curated record.
CCAACUACAAGAUACGCAGAUGAUUACAUUUGGUAGCUGCCAGCAUGGCCAGUUCUUCUGAUGAAUGCAGUGCAGGAGUGAAUCCAGGUAGAACCAACUGUGCCAACUGUCCCACACAUUCAUGAUUUGUAUGCUAGAAGCCAAUUUAAGUGACACCAAAAGGCUACAAAAAAGCAUCACCUUUCAUGAGGACUUCAAGACGUUUCAAACUAAAUGAAAAUCUUUCAAUGACUUCUCAGAGAAUGGGCAAUGAAUACAGGAUUCUGAUGCUUUG